Molecule: ribosomal RNA, 169 nt
Filed under: uncultured bacterium
Lineage: Bacteria
Description: partial 16S ribosomal RNA
Rfam family: Bacterial small subunit ribosomal RNA
Source: RNAcentral
AGCAGUAGGGAAUCUUCCACAAUGGACGAAAGUCUGAUGGAGCAACGCCGCGUGAGUGAAGAAGGGUUUCGGCUCGUAAAACUCUGUUGUUAAAGAAGAACAUAUCUGAGAGUAACUGUUCAAUGUGUGACGGUAUCUUACCAGAAAGGAACGGCUAAAUACGUGCCAG